This is a long non-coding RNA of Pongo pygmaeus (Bornean orangutan), 3884 nucleotides long. RefSeq lists it as uncharacterized. The record is from RefSeq and is a predicted model, not a curated record. The transcript is spliced from 3 exons. Lineage: Eukaryota; Metazoa; Chordata; Mammalia; Primates; Hominidae.
CCCGGCGAGGAAAACUACAACUCCCAUGAGGACACGGGCGAGAUUGAGGCCGGGCUCCGCCUCCUUCUCCCUGGCGCUCGGUGGACUGCGUCUCAGUGCCACGUGGCGCGGGAGCCUAGCUGAUCGCGUGCAUGACGAGGGCCAGCGUGGCUGGCUGCUUGGCCCACAGACCUGGGCAGCGGGAAACGCCUACUUGAGAGCGCAUGGCUUCAAGCUUCUCCCUUGCGCUUAUGAUCUUAGGCUGAUCGCUUUUUCUUUUAGGCUGAACACAGUUCACCCUGGGCGCCUCCAACUCUCUGGAAUUCUAGGCAACAGAUUAACACUUUGUGAAUCUCGAAGAGCUGCACUCCUGCUAAAUAUUGGAGUUAAUGCUGAUCCUUUGGAAGUCUCUGAAGGUUGCAAGAUUGUGCUGCGAGCCUCUGGCUUCAUUUGCCCUUCUCACACCUUAUUUUAAUACAAGGGUCUUGCUCUGUCACCCAGGCUGGAGUGCAGUGGUGUAAUCACAGCUCACUGAAACCUACCUCCCAAAUGAUGCUCCCGCAUCAACCUCCCAAGUAGCUGGGACUAAAGGCACACACCACCAUGGUCGAGCACACUGAACUACCUGGAGUAAAGGGGCAUCAUGUCUGAAACUGAUGCUUAAGUGGCUCAGAAAAAAAAUUCUGGGAGCUAGAGGGAGAGAGAGACAGUGGAGUGUGGUAAAAAGUUAUCGUUAUGGAGGUCUGGGUAAAAGGUAUAUGAGGAUUCUUUGUACUUAUUUUGCAACUUUUCUCCCAGUCUGAAAUUAUGUCAAAAUAUAAAAUUAAAAGGCAAAAUUAAAAGAAUGAGUGAGAGUUUACUAGGUAGAGAAGCAGAAGGAUCUUCUGGUAAAGGAACAGGAUAAGCAAAAGCAUCACAAGUGUGCGAGUCUUCUGUGUUGACAAACAAUCCCUGACUCUGAAUAUCCAGGACUAGCAUGGUGUGGGGAGACGGGAAUUAGAGGGAUGAUGAGCAGCAUAACCCACAAAUGGACACAUUUCCCUGCUACCUAAGAUUAGAAGUAAAGACUUUAGGCCUACAUUAUACCCAGCCUCAAGAGUUGCAAGACAUAACACAUGAGUUCUCAUAGCGGCUCAGUCUUUGCAUUGGCAGUGUCUCUUCAUCCAGUGACUGUGGAACAAUGGAAACCCUAGAAUCAUGGCUGAAAGGGACAUCUAGUCCAACUCUCUCAUUUUGCAGAAGGGACAACUAAGAUGCAAAAUGAAGAAGAGAUUUGCAAGGUCCCAGCAAAGGUUAGUGUUAAAACUGGCCUCUAGUUCCCAGUCCAUCAUUCUUUCUAUUGCACCAAAGUCAAAAUGAUAAGGGAGAAGAAAUGGAAGACUAGCAAGGGAAAUGACUGAAUGUUAAAGUUUGGACUUUUUUAUUUGCCAAAAGUACAAACUUAGUGUCUAUACAAUGUUAAAAGUAAACAAUAUAGAUACCAAUGUUGUUGUAGAAACUGUCAUCACUGAAGCCAAUAGCUUCCAACUGGUAAGUGAUAUUCAAUUCAGACUCCUAGGUCUGAAGCAGCAAUCAAGGUGAUUCUCAGGAAUUCUCAAUGACAUUGGUACCCAUCUGGAUUUGUUGAAAAGUUUAACAUCCUUUUGUAUUAUUCAUGAUUUUGCAGUUCUUCAAAUUGCAAGGUGAUGGAGAGGGCACACAAUUUUCAACCAGGCUAUGAAAUCGUUCUUGAAAAUGUGGACAUUCAUAUAGAUGGCUUUUAAUUUUUCUUGGAGACUGCCUUUCCUUAUGAAAUCAUGAAAUUUAAAAAUAUGUAUUAUAAAUUAAACUAUAUACAUACUAUUCUCAUUAUAAUACAAUCCUAGGGAUAAGGAACUAGUAUUUCAAGGGCGCCAUUCCCCUUUUUUAGUAUUAUUCCUAGUUGGAAUUUUAUUCCUCAAGGCUUAGCUCUAAGUGACUAUAUAAUGAAUACUGACUAGCAAAACUAUUGGGAUUCUAAUUUAAGAAUCAUCAGAUUCUGUACAAGAAAUCUUGAAGCAUGUCAUCAGUAACAUGUUGAGAAGCUGCCUAAAAAGUCAUGCCUUUCUUUUAAAUGUCCAUGAGCCCUGGAUCCACAGAUUAUGAGAUGUGAAGGAUCACGCAUGCUCAAACAGGGCUUAUUUAGGUGUCAUCUAUAGAGGGGCUGCUCUCUUCAGCGGCCCAUCCCGGACCCCGGAAUUAUGUGUACAGUUUUCAAUUUCCACAUGUCUUUGCGGCAAUGCUACCAUGAAUUAUUUUACUCAGGACUUUAGAUUAACCACAAAAGAAACUAAUUGAAAAUAACUAAGAUCAUUCUGUCAUGUGAGCCACAGUUUACUACAGUCAACUUAAGCACAAUUAUAUAUGCUAAACUAUAGAUGUGAUGCUUUGUGUUUCAACCAUUAUUAUCCAUUGUUUCUUACUCAACUGGUAAAACCAUUAGCAAUAUGUGGCUUUAAAAGGACUGUCUCUGUGAUAUCCUCUUCCUCUGCCUCCCUUCAGGAUCUGAUAUUCUUCUGUGGUUGACUGACGAGUCUGCAUAUGGGUGCUGUAUCAGACCUAUUAAUUGCAGAAGGUUCUGUCUCCCUAUCCCCAAUACCUCAAACUUCCUACUUUCUGUACAGUCUUCAACACUCUAUCUGCAUGGCUCUAGUAAUCCCUGUUCUUGCUUGCUAUGGACAGAUCUGUUAAAAUCCUAGAACUGCCACACAGUUUCUUCAGAAUGUUUGAUGUCUCUCUCCAGAGAAUGGCUUUUUUCUCAUUGUGCUAUGCCGUUGCUCUCAGAACUUACCCCCUGGAACCUUCUCUUUUCUGUGCCUAUGCUCAGCUGUGGGGGAAUAAUAAGAGAGGUUUUAUUCCUAUUUAUUCCUAUUUAUUAUCAUGUAUGAUAGGAAUAAUAAGAAAGAAUAGUGAGAAUAAUGAUAGGAAUAAUGAGAAUCGCUUGAACCUGGGAGGUAGAGGUUGCAGUGAGCCAAGAUCACACCACUGUACUCCAGCCUGGGUGACAGAGUGAGACUCUGUCUCCAAAAAAAAAAAAGAAAAGAAAAGAAAUCAUACAUAUGUAACCUUCUAUGUCUGGCUACUUUCACAUAACACAAAAAUUUUUGAGGUUCAUCCAUUGUGGCACAUAUCAGUAUUUCAUUCUUUGUUGUUGUUGUUGUUUUUUUUUUUGUAACAGUAUCUGUUGCUGAGGCUGGAGUGUAGUGAUCAAAUCAUGGCUCACUGCAGCCUCGAACUCCCAGAUUCAAUCAAUCCUCCCACCUUAGCCUCCCAGGUACCUGGAAUUAUAGACAUGCCACCAUGUCCAGCUAAUUUUUGUACUUUUUGUAGAGAUAGGGUUUUGCCAUGCUUCCCAAGCUGGUCUCAAACUCUUGGGCUCAAGCAAUCUGCCUAACUCAGCCUCCCAAACUGGUGGGAUUACAGGCGUGAGCUACUUCAGUCAGCCAUUUCAUUCUUUUUAAUGACUGAAUAAUAUUCCAUUAUAUGUAUAUACCACAAUUUGUUUAUCCAUUCAUCUACUGACAGGCAUUUGGACUGUUUCCACCUUUGGGCUGUUAUGAGUAACGCUACUACAAACAUUCACAGACAAGUUUCUAUGUGAACAAAUGUUUUUGUUUCUAUUAAUAAUACCUAGAAUUAUUGGGUCAUUAUGGUAAUCCAAUGUUUUACUUUUUGAGGAACCACCAAGCUGUUUUCCACAGUAGCUACAUGAUUUUACAUUCCAAACUGUAAUGUACCAGGAUUCCUAUUUCUUCACAUACUUACCAACACUUGUUAUUUUCAAUUUUUUAAGCUAUAGUAAUCCUAGUGGGUGUGAAAUGGCAUUUCAUUGUGAUUUUGACUUAAAUUUCUUUAAUGACCAAUAAAGUUGAACAUUUUAAUGUGAA